RNAcentral lists this transfer RNA (65 nucleotides) under Rhipiphorothrips cruentatus. RNAcentral's name for it is "tRNA-Pro". The record is from RNAcentral. Lineage: Eukaryota; Metazoa; Arthropoda; Insecta; Thysanoptera; Thripidae.
CAGAAAAUAAUUUAUUUAAAAUGUUGAUUUUGGAUAUCAUUAAAGGAGUACUAUUUCUUUUCUGA